GCGCCCGUGGCUCAGUUGGAUAGAGCAUUGGCCUCCGGAGCCAAAGGCCGCAGGUUCGAAUCCUGCCGGGCGCGCCA
This 77-nucleotide transfer RNA is filed under the name Desulfovibrio sp. RNAcentral's name for it is "tRNA-Arg". It matches the Rfam family "tRNA". From Rfam's summary of the family: Transfer RNA (tRNA) molecules are approximately 80 nucleotides in length. Their secondary structure includes four short double-helical elements and three loops (D, anti-codon, and T loops). Further hydrogen bonds mediate the characteristic L-shaped molecular structure. tRNAs have two regions of fundamental functional importance: the anti-codon, which is responsible for specific mRNA codon recognition, and the 3' end, to which the tRNAs corresponding amino acid is attached (by aminoacyl-tRNA synthetases). tRNAs cope with the degeneracy of the genetic code in two manners: having more than one tRNA (with a specific anti-codon) for a particular amino acid; and 'wobble' base-pairing, i.e. permitting non-standard base-pairing at the 3rd anti-codon position. The record is from RNAcentral. Lineage: Bacteria; Pseudomonadati; Thermodesulfobacteriota; Desulfovibrionia; Desulfovibrionales; Desulfovibrionaceae.